GGCUUUAGUGGAAAUUGCUGGUUUUGAAAACCGGCUAGGAACGUUCGAUUCGUUUAAAAGUCU
This 63-nucleotide transfer RNA is filed under the name Hiatula acuta. RNAcentral's name for it is "tRNA-Ser". The record is from RNAcentral. Lineage: Eukaryota; Metazoa; Mollusca; Bivalvia; Cardiida; Psammobiidae.